Oncorhynchus keta (chum salmon) is the source of this 2054-nucleotide long non-coding RNA. RefSeq lists it as uncharacterized. The transcript has 3 exons. The record is from RefSeq and is a predicted model, not a curated record. NCBI's taxonomy places the organism in Eukaryota, Metazoa, Chordata, Actinopteri, Salmoniformes, Salmonidae.
UAGUUACUCCACUCUCCACAGCUCCACUAGCAGCAGCAGUAGAUGGGAUGGUGGAGGUAUUAAGCCUGGUAGUUACUCCACUCUCCACAGCUCCACUAGCAGCAGCAGUAGAUGGGAUGGUGGAGGUAUAAAGCCUGGUAGUUACUCCACUCUCCACAGCUCCACUAGCAGCAGCAGUAGAUGGGAUGGUGGAGGUAUUAAGCCUGGUAGUUACUCCACUCUCCACAGCUCCACUAGCAGCAGCAGUAGAUGGGAUGGUGGAGGUAUAAAGCCUGGUAGUUACUCCACUCUCCACAGCUCCACUAGCAGCAGCAGUAGAUGGGAUGGUGCAGGUAUUAAGCCUGGUAGUUACUCCACUCUCCACAGCUCCACUAGCAGCAGCAGUAGAUGGGAUGGUGGAGGUAUUAAGCCUGGUAGUUACUCCACUCUCCACAGCUCCACUAGCAGCAGCAGUAGAUGGGAUGGUGGAGGUAUUAAGCCUGGUAGUUACUCCACUCUCCACAGCUCCACUAGCAGCAGCAGUAGAUGGGAUGGUGGAGGUAUAAAGCCCAGUAGUUACUCCACUCUCCACAGCUCCACUAGCAGCAGCAGUAGAUGGGAUGGUUGAGAGUCAUAAAGCAUAAAGAAAGGGACAGAGACUUGGCAUUAUAGCCGCUGUGAGCCUGACCCCUUCCUGCACGGGCCGCAGCCAUUGUCCUUGACUCCUGGCGCGCUUCGCCCAUUAUCCGCCCAACACCUGAUUUAAAACUCAGUCUGACCAGGUCAUUCAAUUCCGGGGGCCUGCCUCUUCGUCACCAGCCAAGCUCGACUAAUGGGCCAGAAAGGGGGACAGAGCGGAGAGUGGUCUCGAGGUGGAGGGUUGAGAGAGGAGAGGCGAAGGUCUGUGGCAAGCAGCCUACAGCCAGAGUCCCAUAGUGGUGGUGGAGGGGCGGUGUGGUCUCUCUCCUAACACCUACAGGGCUGUUGACAUUGUCAUGCAGCGCCAAUCCCCUUUUUACAUCACCUUUGAUUAAAAUGAAUGGCCCGUCCCGACUGUAGGGGAGCUUAUUUCCAAUCCAUUUAUCAGGCUAGGUGUCGUGAGGCAGGGCUGCCUCUGUGGCACCUAACGCCAUGCUGAGGCCCCUAAACUCGUGACAGUUUUAGAACAGUCAUCCACGCAGGCCUGGAGGAAGGUCAACACUCCAGGCCCAAAUAAAUGAUAUCGUCUUAAUGACAGAGGGAAUUACUUUUUUCCCCCCUUCAUCACUCAUCUGACCGAGGGGAGUGGAUGGGGGAAAUUUCCCUCCAACAAUUUCACACCUGGACACUCACUACCUUAACCUAGACUGUCUGGACUGUCUGGACAAGACAAUAGUGGAUGGGAGGGAAGGCCACAAUAAAGUAGAAAACACAUUCGAAAAGCCUCUAGCGUUGCUUGAGGGGAAAUGACCAAUUGUUAUGGUCAACAUUGUGAUUAUGGCUAAAAACAGACUAAGCUUGAUAGCUAAUACAACAUUAAAACCAGGGCAUUUGUUUGGAUACUUGCAGUACAUGAGUAUUUCGUCCGUACUCAGAAACAUGUUACUCAACAUGAAUUCAGCUAUGUGGGUUGUGUUGUACAAGCAAAACCCUUUCCUAGAAUAAUCUAUUCAUGAGACUACAAUACUGAAGAUGAACACUUAAACAGCAUUAAUAUUAAAGGAACAGAUACUACUACUUCAUGUCUCUCCACCCCAUUCAGGAGGAGGAGGAGGAAAAUACAUCUGGGCAGAAACUGACCAUUUUGUAAAAUGUUCUAAAUGAAACCAUUUGAGUGAGGAAACCUGAGUAUCAAACAUUAGGUCAGUAUCCUUGAAGCUCUUAUUUCAUCAAAUAUUCAUACUGGGCUAGCGCAUGAAUUAAACAUACAGGGUAUUAGAUAACACAGCUCCUGGUUGUUAGUAAAUCAAUGGGAGAUAACACCCACUACAUCACUCGUGUCCACAUUUCCUUUUUUUAAACUCUCCUCCUGUGAAAAAAAAAACAGAACGCAUGGCCAGAUUACUUUAGCUAACUGUUGUGGUGUGUGUGAGAGA